Non-coding RNA from Cherax quadricarinatus, 4416 nucleotides. Lineage: Eukaryota; Metazoa; Arthropoda; Malacostraca; Decapoda; Parastacidae. The record is from RefSeq and is a predicted model, not a curated record.
UGGGUGGCCCUUAAACCCUCCCAAACAAACAAAGCAUUCUCUAGUUGGCGUGGAUUGUUGCCCUCCGUUGUGGACAAGCUGUUUGUGCUGGACGUAUCACCUUUAAGUAUUUCAAAGGAUAUUGCAACUUUGUCACGAUUUUUAGAAAUUAUGCAAAGAAGAGAGGUACCCAUGCACCUUACCAUGCAGGAAGCACAAAAAUGCACUGAUGAAAUUCUGAGUCCUGCUGUUCCAUUUGAAGACGAUGCUUGAACAUGUGUCCUGGAUCAUUAUUAAGUUGCAAGCAAGAGCAAAGAGGUAGAGAAAACCAGACAAUAAGUCAGGUGAAGAGAUGAGGAGGCAGCCAAUAUCAGGUCAAGUCUGAUGAUUAGAGCAUUUGACAGUGUACUGGGAAGACCAGUAUAAACAGAAAUAUUACCAGGGCAAAGAUUUACGUGAAGAAUUUUGUAUAUAUAUGUGCCAUUUCAACAAGAUGACAUCUGUGAGGGCUUCAAUAACGUUAGAUAUUUUUGGCAGACAGUUAACUUAUUGUGGGUAUGGCUAUGAUUUAAAAAAUAAUAGAAAAUAGCAUUAUUAUUAUUGGUGGAGCAACUUUUUGUGUGUUCUUAGUCAUAUCAGAAUUGAAAUGGUAAGUUUCAUGAGUAUAUUGGAAAGUAAAAGAUGAGCAAGAGACACUAAAACUGCCUUUAAAUUAAAAAAAAAAUUGUAUCUGUUGAUAAAGAAAUUUUUGAGAAUCAACAUGAAAAAUAAAUAUUUAAUUUUUCUUUUAAACUAACUUACCAACCUUUGUUAAAUUAAAACAAUAUUAGGUCCCCCAUAGCCAUGGGAGAUAAGUUCCAAGACUUGCGGAUACUGAAACCGUGGAUAGUAGUGAACCCUAUAUACAGUAUGUCAUUUUUUUGUACUUAUGAUGUUGGGUUUUGGAGGGGUAUAGGGAUGGAUGCUGGAAGCAAUGAGGUGUGAUGGUGACCAUGUGGGUGGUAGUGUGGAUGAUGGAUGUUGAGCAGGUGAGUGUGCAGUUGGUGUGGACAGUAAUUAGAGUGGCUAGUGGCUCAAUGGAAUGUUUGGGGAAUGUGUGGGGCAUGAAAACAUGGGUAAGGUGGGGGUGUGGGGCAGUGAGGGCUAGAAUCUGUAGGGAAGUGGUGAGUGAAAGGAUGAAUAUGGUGUGGGGCCAUGUGAGCUUGAAGCUGUGAGGGAGUGGUGAGUGACAGCAUGAGUAUGGUGUGGGGCCAUGUGAGCUUGAAGCUGUCAGGGAGUGGUGAGUGACAGCAUGAGUAUGGUGUGGGGCCAUGUGGGCUUGAAGCUGUCAGGGAGUGGUGUGGGUGAAAGGUGUGCUUGUCAUUGGCUUGGUGUAGGUGGUGAUUGGAUGAUGGGUGACAGAGUGGACAAUUAUACAGCUGGUGGUAAUGAGUGUGGUGGGUAACUAAGUGAUUAGGUAUGGUGACAGCAUGUUAGGGUGAAAGGUCAGGUAAGGUGUGCAAGUGAGGUCAUAGGGGAUAUAUGGCCAUGAGGGAAUGGUGAUUGCGGGGAGAAUGGUAUAGGUGUGAGCGUGUGGCCUUGGGGAAAAUUGUAUCUGCAGAUUGUGUGGGGUAGGUUGUUGGUCGGGACGGUAUGGAUGAAGGCUGAGAUUUACACCAAAUGUUGCCAGAUUGCUGAACUGUUUUUUGGUAACCUUAACUUAUUUUCCAAAUAUUUUUGAUGGUUUUCAUACCUGCCCAAGCUUGGCUACCUCCCCUUAAUUAUAAAAUAUCUUAGCCUAUUGUAGGUACUCACCAGCUUCUCAGUUCUUUAUUGUUGCUGUGAUGAUAUAAUGUGAUGAUGAUACAGUGCCUGUGAGGAUGAGAUGAAGUGAGGUGAUGGUGUAGGUACUGUGAUUGUGUUAGGUGAUUGACUAGUGAGGAAGCGAUGCAAAGAGGAGUAGAAUUGGCAAACAGUAGGUGGAAAAUCUGUGUUGUAUACUGGGGAGAGAUUGAGGAAAAGAAGGAAUCAUGGUUUUACAAUCCCAUGAAGGGAAUUUGUAAUAGCCUUUACUGUUUGUUUUAUUUAUUUUAAAAUACCCAAAAAUAAAUUAAGAAUUUUGGAGGAUGCAGAAUAAUGAUAUGUUGUUCAAUUCCUUCUAUGCAGUUCGUCUUUAGCCUUGUUCAUAUAAAGUUAACUAUAACAUCCUAAAUGUUAACAAUUUGGCACAAAUUUUACCAAGGUGUUGCCAUAUCAAAAAUCAUUAUUUUUAUUUCUUUUCUUAUUUUUGGGCAAACUUCUCUUUGGACCACCUUAACUUAAAAUAAAAAAUAAUUGAAAUUAAACUAUUAUUAAAAAUUACCUAGUAGAAGCCUGCUUCCCUCUUAAUAUUUCCAGGCCACCUUGAACCAUGGAUUACUGGAACCUUGGAAACCGAACCUGCAGAUAUGGGGGUUCUAUUAUAAUCUAGCUUAAUCUCGCCCAGCUUAUGUUAAGUCAGUUAAAAUUUAGUUAGUAAUAUUUUACAUCAGUUAAAUAUAUUUAUUUUGUGACAUUGAGACUACUAUUGCAAUAACUGCAAAAAUCAAGCUACACUUUGCAAAAUGAUCUUUGCUUUAUAAUCCAAGAAUACAAGCUCUGUCUAAAAAGGACAUGCAUAUACUGAACACAUAUACAGUAAAACCUUUUAUACUGCAUCCUUUUAUACUGUAGUACAAUUUUGUGUAAACAAAAUUGACCAAGUGCAAUCAAAAUUUCAUGGCACAAAACAAUCUCGAUUUUACACAAUGGUAAUAAAAUAUGUACAUAUGUACAUACAUUAAGCAGUGUCCAAAAUUUGGGUAGUACACUCCAGAGAUAUUUCUUAGUGUGUUUACCAGGCUAUAAGCAACACCCUGCCCCCAGCCUCCCACUGCUUGUACUCAGCAAGAGCAAGUCAUGUCUUCUAGACUGCAUUUUUCUUACCUAACUAAUGUUUUCCAAUUUUUGUGUAGAUUAUGAAUGCUUAGUUUAUAUAAAAGAUCUGUAUAAAAUAAACCAUACCACAGGCGGGGAUAGAACCCGCAAUUAGAGAGUAUGGUUUGGUUUGUUUGCAAUUGUGUCAUUACGAUUUCAUGAGUCCUGUAUAAAAUGUUUGAAGAGAUUAUUCAAUAUACAUGUAUUAAUAUCAGGAAUUGACAAAAUUUCAAUAGAAGAGGAAGAAGACUUAAUUCAGAUUAUUAAACCCUGAAGAUUAGUAACCUAAUAUCAUACAUUAUUAUAAUUUGUCCUGUAAUUGUUUUACAUGAUGGUAGGAUUACUGGUGUCUUUUUUCUGUCUCUUAAACAUGCAAGAUUUCAGAUACGUCUUGCUACUUCUACUUACACUUAGGUCACACUACACAUACAUGUACAAGCAUAUAUAUACACACCCCUCUGGGUUUCUAUUUUCUUUCUGGUUCUUGUUCUUGUUGAUUUCCUCUUAUCUCCAUGGGAAAGUGGAACAGAAUUCUUCCUCCGUAAGCCAUGUGUGUUGUAAGAGGCGACUAAAAUGCCGGGAGCAAGGGCCUAGUAACCCCUUCUGUAUAAAUUACUAAAUUUAAAUAGAGAAACUUUCAUUUUUCUUUUUGGGCCACCCUGCCUUGAUGGGAUACGGCCGGUUUGUUGAAAAAAAAAAUUAUAAUUUGUAAUCACACAAUAGUGUUUCUUUAACAGUGACAUAUGUAUGUACUGUAACUGCAUUUGUACAGUUGUUGAAAAUGUUCAUGAUUAAGCCUGGUACAAUUUGGUAAGGAAAUUUGGCUUUACUUUUUAUGUUUACAUGCACCAAAUGUGCAUCAGCUGAUUAACAUUGCUACAUCUAACUCUGCCCAGUAGGUCCAUGUUAACCCUUACCAUGCUUUAAAUGCUUCUAUUAAAAAUACAUACAGGAAGUAUUGUUUUCUUAGAAAGGGCUCCAGAUCUUGGGUCUGGCAUUGGUGUCACUCGUCCUGAACAAGUUCCUUAUUAUCUCCCUCACUAGAUCACCUUUCAACUGAGAUGCUUUGAUGCUGGUUAAGAGUUUUUGAUGCGAGGAAUAGGAGCUACCUUCCCAAUCCUUGUAUCAACCCUGAAUAAACCCCCUUACCUCCCGUCUCCCAUUCUACAAAAAGGGGGCUCCAGAAGUUUUAUAUAGGAGGGGUUUAAGGGUGACAAUGUGGUUGGAAUAAGAGUGGGGACUAGGGGACUUGUCUUGAACCUACCUUAUUAUUUUUAUUUUGGGGGCUGAAGGAAUGGCCGUGUGGGUUUCAGUCACCUCUGACCAGCCUUGUAUGACCCCUACGAGUUUUAGCUCUUUGAUUAAGGUGAUUAAUUUCUAUUUAAAAUGUUUGCCCUCAUCUUUGUCCCACCUUUCUUGUUUCCUCAGAUGACUAUGUCGAGGCCUCAUAUUACUGUGUUCACGUGGAAACAUUGAACCUGUAAGGGUGUCAUGUCACAGAGU